UACGUAGGUGGCGAGCGUUGUCCGGAUUUACUGGGCGUAAAGGGAGCGUAGGCGGACUUUUAAGUGAGAUGUGAAAUACCCGGGCUCAACUUGGGUGCUGCAUUUCAAACUGAAAGUCUAGAGUGCAGGAGAGGAGAAUGGAAUUCCUAGUGUAGCGGUGAAAUGCGUAGAGAUUAGGAAGAACACCAGUGGCGAAGGCGAUUCUCUGGACUGUAACUGACACUGAGGCACGAAAGCGUGGGGAGCAAACAGGAUUAGAUACCCU
Molecule: ribosomal RNA, 265 nt
Filed under: uncultured prokaryote
Description: partial 16S ribosomal RNA
Rfam family: Bacterial small subunit ribosomal RNA
Source: RNAcentral